UUAUCCGGAUUUACUGGGUGUAAAGGGAGCGUAGACGGUUUUGCAAGUCUGAAGUGAAAGCCCGGGGCUUAACCCCGGGACUGCUUUGGAAACUGUAGGACUAGAGUGCAGGAGAGGUAAGUGGAAUUCCUAGUGUAGCGGUGAAAUGCGUAGAUAUUAGGAGGAACACCAGUGGCGAAGGCGGCUUACUGGACUGUAACUGACGUUGAGGCUCGAAAGCGUGGGGAGCAAACAGGAUUAGAUACCCUGGUAGUCCACGCCGUAAACGAUGAUUACUAGGUGUUGGUGGGUAUACCCAUCGGUGCCGCAGCAAACGCAUAAGUAAUCCACCUGGGGAGUACGUUCGCAAGAAUGAAACUCCAAGGAAUUGACGGGGACCCGCUCAAGCGGUGGA
This 394-nucleotide ribosomal RNA is filed under the name uncultured bacterium. Its description in RNAcentral is "bacterial SSU rRNA". It matches the Rfam family "Bacterial small subunit ribosomal RNA", at positions 541 to 936 of the family's 1533-position model. The record is from RNAcentral.